RNAcentral lists this ribosomal RNA (465 nucleotides) under uncultured bacterium. RNAcentral's name for it is "partial 16S ribosomal RNA". It matches the Rfam family "Bacterial small subunit ribosomal RNA", at positions 28 to 507 of the family's 1533-position model. The record is from RNAcentral.
GACGAACGCUGGCGGCGUGCUUAACACAUGCAAGUCGAACGGAAAGGCCCCUUUGGGGGUACUCGCGUGGCGGACGGGUGAGUAACACGUGCGUAACCUGCCCUUGACUUCGGGAUAACUUCAGGCAACUGGGGCUAAUACCGGCUAGGAAUCCUUGCUGCAUGGUGGGGGUUGGAAAGCUUCGGCGGGUUUGGAUGGACUCGCGGGCUAUCAGCUUGUUGGUGGGGUAGUGGGUUACCAAGGCUUUGACGGGUAGGCGGCCUGGGAGGGCGAACGGCCAAAUUGGGACUUGGAUACGGCCCAGGAGUCUACGGGGGGCAGGAGGGGGGAAUAUUGGAAAAUGGGCGGGAGGCCGAUGCAGGAACGCCGCGGGGGGGAAGACGGGCUUCGGGUUGUAAACCGCUUUCAGCAGGGGCGGAGCUUGUGGUGACGGUACCUGCAGAAGAAGCACCGGCUAACUACGUG